AUAUCAAUAAGCGGAGGAAAAGAAACUAACAAGGAUUCCCCUAGUAAUGGCGAGUGAAGCGGGAAUAGCUCAAAUUUGAAAUCUCAUUGGUCUCCAAUGCGUAUUGUAGUUUAAAGAAGUAUUUUCGGAGGCAAGCCAGGAUUAAGUUCCUUGGGAUAGGGCAUCAUAGAAGGUGAGAAUCCUGUAUGUGUUCUGGUGUAGCUUCUAUGUGAUAUACUUUCAAAGAGUCGGGUUGUUUGGGAAUGCAGCCCAAAAUGGGUGGUAAAUACCAUCUAAAGCUAAAUAUUGGCGAGAGACCGAUAGCGCACAAGUA
Molecule: ribosomal RNA, 313 nt
Filed under: uncultured Lobulomycetales
Lineage: Eukaryota; Fungi; Chytridiomycota; Chytridiomycetes; Lobulomycetales
Description: partial large subunit ribosomal RNA
Rfam family: Eukaryotic large subunit ribosomal RNA
Source: RNAcentral